UACGGAGGGUGCAAGCGUUGUUCGGAAUUAUUGGGCGUAAAGGGCAGGUAGGUUGUCUUGUAAGUCUGCUGUGAAAUCCCUGAGCUUAACUCAGGAAGUGCGGCGGAUACUGCAGGACUAGAGUAUCGGAGGGGUGCGUGGAAUUCCCGGUGUAGCGGUGAAAUGCGUAGAUAUUCGGCGGAACACCAGUGGCGAAGGCGACUCACUGGCCCGAUACUGACGCUGAGGCGCGAAAGCGUGGGGAGCAAACAGG
Molecule: ribosomal RNA, 253 nt
Filed under: uncultured bacterium
Lineage: Bacteria
Description: partial 16S ribosomal RNA
Rfam family: Bacterial small subunit ribosomal RNA
Source: RNAcentral